AGAUGUCUUUAUGUUAAAGGAACCUACUUGAACUUGCUUGCCUCUAGCUUAUAUGAGGAACAUGCACAAAUUACUUCUGAUAAAGGACUAACUGCAUGAAUGAUGUUCACAGGUAGGAAAAGUGCAAUUUUCUAUCUCAGUUCUUGCCAUGCAGCCUUUUGGGCUUCAGGUGUUUUUUUUAUGACCCCCAUAGGACUGUACUCAAGGCUUCUCCCAAAUAAUAGCAUCAGUUUUAGGAGAGUGCUUGAGGAUUCCACAUUCCUGCCAACCCAGGAACAGGAAUGCCAAGUGUGCUUCCAUUUCAGACUAUCUGAUUAACCUUUUAUUAAGUCUAUGAAAAGUUAUUGAACCAACUCAGACACUUUGAGUUUCAAAGGCCCUAUCUUUUCUUCUAUGCACAGGAAGCCUGCAAUUCUGGGCAGCUUCCGAGGCUCACUGCUCUCAUGAACACCCAGAGCUUGCUGAGGUGCAGGGUGCAGAUUGCAGAGUUGCCCUUCAGUGGGAACAAAAGCCAUUUCAGCUGGUGCCACUCAAGCCAGGGGAUAGAGAGACUGAUCCCAAAGCCAGUGUGUGGACAAGAUGGAUCAGGGACCCUGCAUCUGGGAUGUGUGUCCCGGAAGGCCAAGAUUUGGGCCUUUGAGCAGGUAUACCCACCAUUCAGUCUGCAGCUGCCUGCCCCUCUGCCAUGGGGAACAAGCACCCGGGAAACUAUGAUGUCCUCUGCUUGUAUCCCUGACCCCUUCUGCUCCAGUGCAGGCUGAAGCUUUUGGGCAAUGCUUGGUGCUGGAGCAUUUGUAAGGCCAUUUUCUGCUCUCAUUCAUUCUCCUGCUGUCUAGUGAAAGAGUGUGUAUGGAAGACCUCUCUUCCCUAUCCAUGUAAGGGUAACAUUCUCAUGAAAAUUCACAGGAAUUGGGCUACUGCAGAGAUUCUCAUGUCGUGCUUGACUGAAACCAGCCAGCAGUUUCAAGAGCUUCUGUAUGGGCAGUAUCUGACCCUGUAUAAUUUGCUCCCAUAGAAAACCAAGCUUAAACAAACCCUGAGUUGACCUAAGUGCCUUUGCAGAAGAUGGCAUUUUUUCACUUGUCCCUUUUCCCUGGAGCUCCUUAGAAGUAGCUGAGUUCUUAUAUAGCCUUUUCAUUCCGGUCUUCCAGAAAGUACUUUUCUGACGUACCUGAAUAUGCUUGCAAGCUGCUGUUUUUCUUCAGAAGACUAUGGUAGCAUUAGUGCCUGGCAACACAGGGACCAUUUCUUCCAAACAAAAAGCAAAAGUUCUUUCAGGAAGGCCUGAAAUAUGUAUAGCUUGAAAUCUCCUCCAGGAAUGUCACUUAUGGUGCUUGUUUGGACAGGUGAGGAAUAUCAGAUACGCAUUUUUAUCUACUCAACCUGCACAUCUCUUCCUACAAUCUAUCACAACUGAAAAUGUGCAUUUAAUCCUUGCGGUGUCUGCAAGACACUUCAGGCUCCUCUGAGGUCCUCUGAAGCUGUGAAGUGUUUCACAAUGUAUCAAGAGGUAAUUUGCAUUGAGAAUCAAUAUGCUAAUUGUUGUGUCAACACUGUUUUGCUGUGUUUCUUGGCUCCUUGUCCUGGGCACGCAGCUACGAGCAGCCUCAGCUCGUCUGCGAUGUGCAAGAUGUGCUGUAGCCAUGCGAUACUCACAGAGCUUGUUGGAAGAGAUGCAACCUGAAGAUGAAGAAGGCCUGGAAACAUCAAUUUAAUUGGAUGAAGAAAUUAGAGAGCUUUUGCUUGGGUGGUAAGUUAACUAAAUAUUGAUUAAAAUGAAACAAUUGUCAAACAGAUGACAGCCAUACCAAAGCUUAUGGUUUAUGCAAUGUUAAAUGUUUUUGGAAUACAAGUGUCAAAUAUGAGCCCAAAGAUGUUCUACUUCUUCAUUUUAUUUAUCUCUAACACGGCUGUGCCCUGAGUCACAGACCAAAAAUAGCUGUGCCAGGCACUGUGCUACCUCAGAACAAAAAAAAAAAAUAAUGGAUUUUUUUGGCUUCUUCUCCAGGCUCACAGCUCUUUUAACACUAAAGAUAUGCCUGGGAGGAGCAUGAGGAAUGGGCAGUGGCAUGGCUUAAAACAUCAUGGCUCCCAGCUUUAAGAAAUACAAACACAGGAAGCACUCAACGUAGGACUGCAGAGCAGUUGUCCAAAGAGUUCCCACCAUAGAAUACUCUGUGACAGGGAGAGGCUAAGAGCCAUCCAGGAGUUCAGCCAAAAUGGCCCUGGGAGCCUGGAGAAAGUAACCAGGUGGCUCUGGUUGUCUCUGAUAGACUUGUUAGCUCUUAAUUGCUCCAUGGUAGCUAAUAACUAAGCUGCAUAGCAAGGGUUAUAAUGCUAACUUGGAUUAUACUUCCAGACUUGCUUUAGGGGCUAUGGAUACGUGCGAGGCAUGGGGUAGAAGUCUGAGGUGGAAGAGUGCUAUGAAUUUGGGUAAGUAGUCGUACGGGUUGGAUGUGCCUCUUUACUCACCCUUGGUGUCCCUGGACACCUGAAAACAGAGACAGAAGAGACAGGUGUGUGCCUGAGAGCUCCUCACUUUCCAGGGAUUUCCAAGACGAAGGAGAGUGAGUUACAGGUAAAGCUGCAUCCUAUUGAUUCACUCCUCAUCUGGGAAGAAGCCUUCUGGGUCACUGCUUUUCCAGCUCUCUAUAGCCUGCUGUCAACCCAGUAGUACACAACCCACUGAACUCAAAGGUGCUUUACCAAAUAGCAUUACUCAUCCCCACAGCAACUAAUGGCCCCUAAACACCCAUCCUGUUUAUGUCUUCCCCAGGACAUGUGUAUCAGCUGUGGAUCCCAGACACAGAGGAGCAUGGGCUGGCUGUAGGUUGGGCAAUGCUAGGGCAGUCCCAGACCUCCUUCAGGCUUAGUCCACAUCUCCAACAUGAGGAAAACAGAUCUUUACCACAGAGAUGAAAAGAAAACAUUAGGGAGGGUUUAUAGUCUGUUUAUAUUACAAAUAAUAUUCAGAUAUAAUUUUUUGUAAGUCUCCAAGAUGAAGAGCUAGAAAAAAAUUAAUAGAUGGUGUUACCCCACACCCCAGGCGACCAUCAAACACUUCUUUUCAGGAGCGAGUCUUUAUCAGAGCUGCCAAGGCUGGAGGGUACCAAGCCCCCACGGGCUGAUGGCAAACCUUUUCCUUUGAACAAACACAACUUUGGGUGGCUUUUCUGCCAAGGUGAAUGCUGAUACAUGCACAGAGAGAAGCUGACCCGGAGGUGAACUGCCCUGCCACUGGCUCAUCUCUCUCAUUCUGUUUUCUUUUGCUUUUCUUUUGCUGACAAAUUUCUGGGCUACAUUUACCAGGGUUAUGCUCUAAUACCUAGUCCAAUAUUUUGACUUUACGUGUCAGCUUUUUGUUUUCAACUAACUAUGAUCAGAUUACUGGUUUUCCUGAGGUUUUUCUCUUCAGAUUCACGAUUUUCAGCCAAGGAAGAGUGCUUCACCGUGCUGUGGGUGUGCUUGACACGUCCUGCUAACAACGGGAUGCUUUCACUCCUUUACCUGCAGUGAUUGACCUUGGAACGUGAGCAGCUCUGGCAGCAGGACCCCCUCCAGAGGCUGCUCUCACAGACGUGCAGUCAAGCAAAAUCAGCAUGACUUGAUCCGACCAGAAGGCAACACCGACACUUGGUAGACCCACAGUAUUUCACAAUGUUGUUGUUUCACAUCCAGCCGACAAAGGCCGCACAGUACCAUACACAGGCUGGCUCCACAGCUCCUUCAGCUCUCAGGUGUUUUCAAGGUGCAUCUGCAGCUCUCUCAGGCUGAAACAUGGUCUGAUAUCAAAAUGGCAGAAUAGGGAUUGAUUCAGGAGAAGAAAAGCCAGCAGCCCUAAAUGACAGGAAACCAGGAUGCUGGAACCUGCUUGGAAGAUAUGGGGACAUUUGUCUCCAACUCAUUCUCCUGACCCCCAGUCCUUGUGCACCACAUCAACAGCCAUGGGCUGUCCUGCCUAAAAGCUUCUGGCAGUAUUUCAUUGAGAAGCAUUUGCAAAUUCAGCUGGAACA
This is a non-coding RNA of Coturnix japonica (Japanese quail), 4013 nucleotides long. Lineage: Eukaryota; Metazoa; Chordata; Aves; Galliformes; Phasianidae. The record is from RefSeq and is a predicted model, not a curated record.